This 117-nucleotide ribosomal RNA is filed under the name Anaerolineae bacterium. The record is from RNAcentral. Lineage: Bacteria; Bacillati; Chloroflexota; Anaerolineae.
CUUGGUGACCAUAGCGAAGGGGAAACACCCUGCUCCAUUCCGAACCAGGCAGUUAAGCCCUUCAGCGCUGAUGGUACUGCCCGGGCAACUGGGUGGGAGAGUAGGACAUCGCCAAGG